GACGAACGCUGGCGGCGUGCCUAAUACAUGCAAGUAGAACGCUUAAGGACUACCUUGCUUCUCUGGAUGAGUUGCGAACGGGUGAGUAACGCGUAGGUAACCUGCCUGGUAGCGUGGGAUAACUAUUGGAAACGAUAGCUAAUACCGCAUAAGAGUACAUGUUGCAUUAUAUUUGCUUAAAAGUUGCAAUGGCAGCACUACCAGAUGGACCUUCGUUGUAUUAGCUUGUUGGUGGGGUAACGGCUUACCGAGGCGGAGAUACAUAGCCGACAUGAGAGGGUGGUUGGCCAAACUGGGACUGAGACCCGGCCCAGAGUCCUACGGGAAGCAGCCGUAGGGAAUCUUCGGCCAUGGGAGGAAGUCUGACCGAGCCAAGCCGCGUGAGUGAAGAAGGUUUUCGGAUCGUAAAGCUCUGUUGUAAGAGUAGAACGAGUGUGAGAGUGGAAAGUUCACACUGUGACGGUAUCUUACCAGAAAGCGACGGCUAACUACGUG
This 495-nucleotide ribosomal RNA is filed under the name uncultured bacterium. Its description in RNAcentral is "partial 16S ribosomal RNA". It matches the Rfam family "Bacterial small subunit ribosomal RNA", at positions 28 to 507 of the family's 1533-position model. The record is from RNAcentral.